UGCCAGUUGUCCUCUAGACUUAAUGAAGAAUGUUGAUGCUGUCCAAGCCAAGAACUGGUGUUCUUCAGUUGACAUGUAGUUCAUUUGCGGAGCUUGCUCAGGUCACGUACUUUGUCAGCACCAAUAAAGAUGAUUCACAGCACUUGCAGCUAUUUAAACAAGCAGAGCCGUCCUCCCUCCCAAAGGUUCACACUAGGCACUGGGCUUUGUAAUCCCACAGAAUCAUGGAAGCUCAAAAAGACAACUAAGAUCAUCAGAUCCAAGCAUCAGGUAUAGGCCGAAGAGGAAGAGAAAGGCAGACAAUGUGAAACAGCCUUUUCUCUCUCUGUCUGUUCCCAAGUCCUGCAUCAUUCCUGGUUCUGCAAGAUGUGAUGAAAGUACUCAUCAUAAUAAAAAAGCCGCAUCAUCUAUCAGAUGCUGAGGGAAACAACAAACGAAAAAAUUCACCAACUGGAAACAGCCCGUCUGCCACAUCAGCACCAACACGUGAUCAGAAGUUAUCGAUCCUAGAGUAAAUGAGGUCAGCUCUCCAGGACUUCAAUUUCCCUAUACAAGGCAGUGGGAGCUAUGCAAGAGGUCUGAACACUGGAGGGCCCCAGCGAGAAGAGAGUUGCAGAGGUGCUCUGUUGCUUGUGGAGUGGUCAGGGCUGGGACUGUCAGAAGCUCAGUGCAUAUUUUGUCUCUGGCCAGUGCAACAGAGGGAAGGGG
Lagopus leucura (white-tailed ptarmigan) is the source of this 708-nucleotide long non-coding RNA. RefSeq lists it as uncharacterized. Lineage: Eukaryota; Metazoa; Chordata; Aves; Galliformes; Phasianidae. The transcript has 4 exons. The record is from RefSeq and is a predicted model, not a curated record.